RNA transcript from Tyto alba (common barn owl), 3608 nucleotides. It is a transcript of the gene named RNA binding protein, mRNA processing factor, with no coding region annotated. The transcript is spliced from 10 exons. The record is from RefSeq and is a predicted model, not a curated record. Lineage: Eukaryota; Metazoa; Chordata; Aves; Strigiformes; Tytonidae.
GCGGCUGCCGCCGGCGGGAGCAGGAGCCCGGCGGGACGCACCAUGAGCAGCCUCCCCGCCGACCGGGAGGGCGGCCCCGCCGACCCCGGCCUGCCCGAGGAGGAGGAAAGGAUAAAUUUGCCUUCUUUACAUUGAAUUUCAUGGACACAGGGGAAGCUCCUCUGGAUGAAGGAGCCUGCUGGGAGAAAUCCGGGCAGCGUUUCCAUCGGGAGAUGGUGAGGACGCUCUUUGUCAGCGGGUUGCCUCUGGAUAUCAAGCCCCGGGAACUUUACCUGCUCUUCAGGCCCUUUAAGGGGUACGAAGGGUCUCUCAUCAAACUCACUUCCAAGCAGCCUGUGGGCUUCGUCAGCUUCGACAGCCGCUCCGAGGCGGAGGCAGCGAAGAACGCGCUGAACGGCAUCCGCUUCGACCCCGAGAUCCCCCAGACGCUGCGGCUGGAGUUCGCCAAGGCGAACACCAAGAUGGCCAAGAGCAAGCUGGUGGGCACCCCCAACCCCAGCACGCCUCUCCCCACCGCCGUACCUCAGUUCAUCGCCCGGGAGCCCUAUGAGCUCACAGUGCCUGCACUUUACCCCGGUAGCCCUGAAGUGUGGGGGCCCUACCCUCUGUACCCAGCGGAGUUAGCACCUGCUCUACCUCCUCCUGCUUUCACCUACCCCGCUUCGCUGCACGCCCAGAUGCGCUGGCUCCCUCCCUCCGAGGCUGGUUCUCAGGGCUGGAAGUCCCGUCAGUUCUGCUGAAUGCCGGGUCUCAGGUGUGUGAUGGUGGCCUACAGUCAGUCUUGUGGGUAUGAACGGAGUCUUCCAAGGCGGCUACUGGGUUGGCGUGCUCUCCGCAAAACCACAGUGUGCUGGCUUGAAAAAAAAAAAAAAAAAACAAACCAAAACCAAAACCUCACACAAGUUUGGAUUCCUCCAAGACUUUCCCACAGCCUCUAUCACACAUCUGCUCUCCUAGAAGAAAAACGAAAAGCAUACCUAGUAAUAAUAUUUUCCUCUUUUACACUGUAUAUUUGUAAGAAAGAGUGUGUUACUUCUGAAAGCAUGGUUUGACAGGCAUUGCUGUAGCGUUUGAAAAGUCUUUUCAAACAGAACCAUAGGAAAGCAGACGGCGAAAAAAGCAAAAUGACAGCGAGUAUUUUUGUACCAAACCUCCUAAAUAGGACAAUCUUACACUGGGUCGGACCACAGGUUUUGUGCUUGACUUUUGAAUGCGUGUAAUUAAGAGCCUCCAUCCCCCCUGCCCCGUCAGCUGCAUGUCGAAGGCACGAGGUUCCUGUGUGUGCAGAUGUUGAGACGCACGAUUCGGGUUCGUAGGGACUGUGCUCCGGCUGUGUCGGCGAGACCUCUGUGGACACUUACAGUAUUACCGUUUUCUUCCCAGUUGUACCAAAUGACAACCAGGCAGGACAAUCAGAAACUUUCUUACGGUGAUUUUUUUUUACCUUAGGGCUAUGUUACUAGCUUGCUGUGCAAAGCUUUCGGCAUGGUACAACGGCUCGGAUCAGGGAUGGGCAGAGACAGCCCGCACAUGUAGCAAAGGUGACAAUUUGCCUCCUCCUCCUCCUGCUCCUCCUGCUCCCCCUCCUCCUCCUGCCACGACUGCUUGAAGUUGUCACGGGCAACGUAAACUGCUGUAUGAGAACAAAAAAAACCAAACCGACCAAACAAAAAACCAACAGCAAACCCCUCGGUUCGCCAGCUUACUUGAGGUCGGGCGCGAGGCCCGAGCGAGCCGAGGGGCUUGGACACGUGCCUGCCGUUACGCCAAAGCGCUGGGCUGAACUGGGGUUUUAGCGUCAAGGUUGUGCCGGUCCGGCGGCUGGCUGUGUAGCAUUUCCAGGUUCCCACGUGCAAAGACAAGAAGGGAGGCUGCUAACACCCCUGGGGCAGUAACCGUAGCCUUUACAGAGAUAGCGUACCAGCAAAGAGACCGCUUGACAUACUAGCCUCUCCUUCUCCUUGCUCCAGCAGGAAUUUGGAAGAAGAAAGAGCAAAGCAAACCAAAGCCUCUAACUGAGUUUGGUUUCUUGCAAAACUUCUCCUUUCCCUGCCUCUCCCCCCGCACCCCGUCCCCGCUGCCUGUGCCUCGGCCGGUUUCCCAGCUGCACCGAAGGCACAGGGUGCCCGUGGCCUUGGUAAACACCGUCACCUUCUUCUUCCUCCUUCCUUUUAUUCUGUGGCUGGGCCAAAAUAAGACGGCUGAGAUUUCGGCUGCUGGAGCCGGGGCGGGGGGGGGGAGAUGGUGCGAUGGGAAACUGUCCCAUUGGAGUCUUCUGUAAAAAGUGGGAUUAACAAAAGGCGACGGGAGAAGAAAUCAAUUCCAAGACAAACCUCUGAGCGGCUCUACAAGGAACGAUACCAGCGUUUCCAAGCGACGGACUAACUCUUUUAGCAAACUAUUUCCUGUACUUUGUCUUGUGGAGAGGAGAGAAGCUUCCACAUUGUCUACUCCGCUUUUGGAAAUAUGUUUAAAGGUACUUUUCUAUUGUAAUUUUUUAAAAAUAAAACCAGUGAUUAUUGUAAGUUACGCGCAGAGCGUCGCUGUGGGCUGUGUACCUGCUUAGGAACAGGGAGAAGGAUCCCAACGCACCCUUUGGGGCCUGGGGAACAGCAGCCUCCUUCCUCCCUCGGGGUGUUUGAAGGCAAGGCUCCUGAGGGACACGGUGAUUUUUCAGGGCUGAUACCAUCAUCCCGCUUGGUUCUCUAGGAAAGCUCCAAAAUCCAGGCUGGAAGGAUCAGCAGGCUUUAAAGAAAUAUCUUCAAGUUUACAAAGAUGUUAUCAGUUAGUUUUUAAACCUACUAAUCUUGGCACCGAGCACAGGAGCUAAGCUGCAGUUUUCCAUGAGCUCAGCCACAGCAGAGGCAAACGUAACCUAGAGACGAAGGGCCAGAUUUUUUUUUUUUUUUUUUUUUUUUAAAACACACUGAGAAUUUUUAAAAAACUCGGUUCGUAAGCCCAACCUAGAAAUUCCUCCUUCUUCUCCCGCUCCACCCCCGCCCCAAUAAAUGUGACCCGCAUCCCCAGGAGCCUCAGCCAACAGGCCAGACUUGGAAAACAAAGUACCAGGAGCAAGCUCCAGCUUAGCAAACACAGCCCGGAGAACAGUACGCAAAAGCCAUUAUUAAAACAGGCUGCAAAGUGUUGAGGGUGAAAGAAAAAGGCCAUGGCGGUGUCAUUCGAAACCCCGGGGCCGGCAGGGACGAGCCGGGGAGUGAAGCCCUUAAUGUGGGAUGCUAAUCCUGUCCCCCGCCACCGCAAGUCACAGCUUUCUUUCAGCUUUCUUUGGGAGUUGCAUUCAGGGGAGAGGUUUGUUGGCAGGCCCUGGGGUAGGAAGGGAAGAGAGGGACAAGCUGCGAGAACGUAUCGCUCAGCCCAGCUGCUACUCAGCGCGGCGGUAACUGGCCCACACCCCCGGCCCCGCUUUAGCAAGACACGCAGAUGCUUUCGGGAGCGGAUUCAGCAACAAACAUCCUCCAGCGAAAAAAGCGACGAAACACGCACACGCUCGUCCUCCGGGACUCUGCCCGGGCACAGCAUCUGCUCCGAGAUCUGCCCUGCGAAAGGAAGCGGGGCCUUGCUGAAAACAUGUAACCUCUCGAAACGUU